CUAGAAACCGCAGCCCUUCUUACUGUAAGAAGGGCUGCGUUUUUGGGCCAACCGCAAUCCUAUUGGGCCUUAAAUUCUUUAUUGUUCUAUUUUUCCUAGCCCCUAAACUCCCUCCAAUUCUUUCAUUCCCUCGCUGCUGAAACACCCCAUCUAUCUCUCUCUCUCUCUCCUCCCAUUUCAUCUCCUCUUCUUCUCCUCAACUCAGGCCUAGAAUCUCACAAAAAAACCCGCUCAACUCAAGCCUAAUGGCCUAAGCUUCGAACUGAUAUCGAUGUUCGAACUCUUUAUCUCUACUCAUUCAUCUUCUUCUUCUUCCCUAAAACCCCAAAUCUUCUCCAUUUUUCGUUUUCCAUUUUCGAUUUUCUUCUCUCGUGUCCAAACAUGUUGAGGACGUGACUCCCAUCCCAACAGACAUUACCCGCAUAAAGGGAGGAAGAAGGGGAAGGAUGUUGUGAAUUAUCUUGGUCAAAUACUGGUCAUAUUGUCUUAUUUCUAUGGCUUGAGUAGACUAGUUUGCUGUUAAAGCCUUUCCUUUUCAUUUUUGAAGUCGAACUUUUAAAGUUUUGAAUUGCCCUUUCAUCAAACAAGUUUCUACUCUCAAGAUUGGAGUGUGGUUGCUAGAAUGCUAGUUCUUGUUUGCUUGCUUACAAGAUUUAUUUUGUAUGUUAGGUGGAAUCUAAAAGAUAACUAAAAAGACCCUAGUUAAAGUUCCUGAUUA
Long non-coding RNA from Beta vulgaris subsp. vulgaris (sugar beet), 718 nucleotides. RefSeq lists it as uncharacterized. NCBI's taxonomy places the organism in Eukaryota, Viridiplantae, Streptophyta, Magnoliopsida, Caryophyllales, Amaranthaceae. The record is from RefSeq and is a predicted model, not a curated record. The transcript is spliced from 2 exons.